RNAcentral lists this long non-coding RNA (338 nucleotides) under Anas platyrhynchos platyrhynchos (common mallard). RNAcentral describes it as "lncRNA (ENSAPLG00000025919.1)". The record is from RNAcentral. Lineage: Eukaryota; Metazoa; Chordata; Aves; Anseriformes; Anatidae.
AUUGAGGACUGAUUUAACAACUCUCCGUGAUGGAUCUUGUCAACGGUCAUGAAGCUUCAGCCCCAGCCUCUCCCCUCACCGUCUCCCCCUGCUGCUCGGAGCUAUUUGGCCGCUGUAUGAAUCCAGCUGUGGGUGAAUGCGUGCAGGUGUGAAGCCCGUUCCUAAUCCCCUGGCUGUGCACCCGGGUUCCUUUCGUACGCUUUGAACACGUGCCACAGAUCUUCGUUCCAGUAGGUAAGACUGCUUCUCAUCUGUGCAAGCUGAUGGCUUAUAUAUGUUUUUUGGGUUUCCCUAAAGCAGCCUAAAGUCUCCUAAUCCUCCCUUUCUGCCUCAUAUCU